Molecule: long non-coding RNA, 238 nt
Organism: Cyprinus carpio (common carp)
Lineage: Eukaryota; Metazoa; Chordata; Actinopteri; Cypriniformes; Cyprinidae
Exons: 4
Source: RefSeq, a predicted model, not a curated record
GAGGAGGACACAGUCAGUCAAAAGAGAAUGAAGAAAAGAAGCAAAUUUGAAGAUUAUGUUCAAGGGUCAGAUUUGUCUCCUGAGGAGGAUGAGUCCUUGCCAGACAAGAAAAAGGAGGAUACAGUGUUGCUUCCGGUUCCUCUGCCAAAGGUUAAGCUCUCACAUAAGGGACAAAAUGCAAUGCUGCUCGAGUUACCUGCACCCCCAGAUCUGGCUAACACCACCAUUAGACAACCAG